Molecule: ribosomal RNA, 491 nt
Filed under: uncultured bacterium
Lineage: Bacteria
Description: partial 16S ribosomal RNA
Rfam family: Bacterial small subunit ribosomal RNA
Source: RNAcentral
AGUGAACGCUGGCGGUAGGCCUAACACAUGCAAGUCGAACGGCAGCACAGUAAGAGCUUGCUCUUACGGGUGGCGAGUGGCGGACGGGUGAGGAAUACAUCGGAAUCUACUUUUUCGUGGGGGAUAACGUAGGGAAACUUACGCUAAUACCGCAUACGACCUACGGGUGAAAGCAGGGGAUCUUCGGACCUUGCGCGAUUGAAUGAGCCGAUGUCGGAUUGGCUAGUUGGCGGGGUAAAGGCCCACCAGGGCGACGAUCCGUAGCUGGUCUGAGAGGAUGAUCAGCGACACAGAAACUGAGACACGGUCCAGACUCCUACGGGAGGCAGCAGUGGGGAAUGUUGGACAAUGGGCGCAAGCCUGCUCCAGCCAUACCGCGUGGGUGAAGAAGGCCUUCGGGUUGUAAAGCCCUUUUGUUGGGAAAGAAAAGCAGCAGGUUAAUACCCCGCUGUUCUGACGGUACCCAAAGAAUAAGCACCGGCUAACUUCGU